Corvus hawaiiensis (hawaiian crow) is the source of this 335-nucleotide long non-coding RNA. RefSeq lists it as uncharacterized. The record is from RefSeq and is a predicted model, not a curated record. NCBI's taxonomy places the organism in Eukaryota, Metazoa, Chordata, Aves, Passeriformes, Corvidae. The transcript is spliced from 3 exons.
CUGUUCCCUGAGGAUUUCAGGUUGUUCCCUUGCAAUCUUCCCCACACAGCUCGGUGUCUGUGUAUCGAGCGAAAGAAGCCUGGAGAAAAUGUGUUUGCAGCCCUGCAUUGAGAGCAGAUGAAUAGCAUGAAAGAAUAGAGCAGGAACCAGUGAACCUGAGGGACUUCAGUGAAACUGAACGUGGGCACCAGAUCUGUGAGGAUGGCUGGAAAUGGUCCGUGGAGAAUUCCAAGGCAGGCAGCUUUGAACUGGGAAUGAAAUAAAUGGGAAACCAAGUGUAAGUGGCUGCCAGUGGAGCUGUGAUAAGGCAAUGUGCAAACACUUCCUCUGAUAGC